Molecule: long non-coding RNA, 2328 nt
Filed under: Homo sapiens (human)
Lineage: Eukaryota; Metazoa; Chordata; Mammalia; Primates; Hominidae
Description: metastasis associated lung adenocarcinoma transcript 1
Rfam family: Metastasis associated lung adenocarcinoma transcript 1 (bases 2247-2328)
Source: RNAcentral
AGGCAUUGAGGCAGCCAGCGCAGGGGCUUCUGCUGAGGGGGCAGGCGGAGCUUGAGGAAACCGCAGAUAAGUUUUUUUCUCUUUGAAAGAUAGAGAUUAAUACAACUACUUAAAAAAUAUAGUCAAUAGGUUACUAAGAUAUUGCUUAGCGUUAAGUUUUUAACGUAAUUUUAAUAGCUUAAGAUUUUAAGAGAAAAUAUGAAGACUUAGAAGAGUAGCAUGAGGAAGGAAAAGAUAAAAGGUUUCUAAAACAUGACGGAGGUUGAGAUGAAGCUUCUUCAUGGAGUAAAAAAUGUAUUUAAAAGAAAAUUGAGAGAAAGGACUACAGAGCCCCGAAUUAAUACCAAUAGAAGGGCAAUGCUUUUAGAUUAAAAUGAAGGUGACUUAAACAGCUUAAAGUUUAGUUUAAAAGUUGUAGGUGAUUAAAAUAAUUUGAAGGCGAUCUUUUAAAAAGAGAUUAAACCGAAGGUGAUUAAAAGACCUUGAAAUCCAUGACGCAGGGAGAAUUGCGUCAUUUAAAGCCUAGUUAACGCAUUUACUAAACGCAGACGAAAAUGGAAAGAUUAAUUGGGAGUGGUAGGAUGAAACAAUUUGGAGAAGAUAGAAGUUUGAAGUGGAAAACUGGAAGACAGAAGUACGGGAAGGCGAAGAAAAGAAUAGAGAAGAUAGGGAAAUUAGAAGAUAAAAACAUACUUUUAGAAGAAAAAAGAUAAAUUUAAACCUGAAAAGUAGGAAGCAGAAGAAAAAAGACAAGCUAGGAAACAAAAAGCUAAGGGCAAAAUGUACAAACUUAGAAGAAAAUUGGAAGAUAGAAACAAGAUAGAAAAUGAAAAUAUUGUCAAGAGUUUCAGAUAGAAAAUGAAAAACAAGCUAAGACAAGUAUUGGAGAAGUAUAGAAGAUAGAAAAAUAUAAAGCCAAAAAUUGGAUAAAAUAGCACUGAAAAAAUGAGGAAAUUAUUGGUAACCAAUUUAUUUUAAAAGCCCAUCAAUUUAAUUUCUGGUGGUGCAGAAGUUAGAAGGUAAAGCUUGAGAAGAUGAGGGUGUUUACGUAGACCAGAACCAAUUUAGAAGAAUACUUGAAGCUAGAAGGGGAAGUUGGUUAAAAAUCACAUCAAAAAGCUACUAAAAGGACUGGUGUAAUUUAAAAAAAACUAAGGCAGAAGGCUUUUGGAAGAGUUAGAAGAAUUUGGAAGGCCUUAAAUAUAGUAGCUUAGUUUGAAAAAUGUGAAGGACUUUCGUAACGGAAGUAAUUCAAGAUCAAGAGUAAUUACCAACUUAAUGUUUUUGCAUUGGACUUUGAGUUAAGAUUAUUUUUUAAAUCCUGAGGACUAGCAUUAAUUGACAGCUGACCCAGGUGCUACACAGAAGUGGAUUCAGUGAAUCUAGGAAGACAGCAGCAGACAGGAUUCCAGGAACCAGUGUUUGAUGAAGCUAGGACUGAGGAGCAAGCGAGCAAGCAGCAGUUCGUGGUGAAGAUAGGAAAAGAGUCCAGGAGCCAGUGCGAUUUGGUGAAGGAAGCUAGGAAGAAGGAAGGAGCGCUAACGAUUUGGUGGUGAAGCUAGGAAAAAGGAUUCCAGGAAGGAGCGAGUGCAAUUUGGUGAUGAAGGUAGCAGGCGGCUUGGCUUGGCAACCACACGGAGGAGGCGAGCAGGCGUUGUGCGUAGAGGAUCCUAGACCAGCAUGCCAGUGUGCCAAGGCCACAGGGAAAGCGAGUGGUUGGUAAAAAUCCGUGAGGUCGGCAAUAUGUUGUUUUUCUGGAACUUACUUAUGUGUAGGAGAAAUACUUUUCCAUUGUUUAACUGCAAAACAAGAUGUUAAGGUAUGCUUCAAAAAUUUUGUAAAUUGUUUAUUUUAAACUUAUCUGUUUGUAAAUUGUAACUGAUUAAGAAUUGUGAUAGUUCAGCUUGAAUGUCUCUUAGAGGGUGGGCUUUUGUUGAUGAGGGAGGGGAAACUUUUUUUUUUUCUAUAGACUUUUUUCAGAUAACAUCUUCUGAGUCAUAACCAGCCUGGCAGUAUGAUGGCCUAGAUGCAGAGAAAACAGCUCCUUGGUGAAUUGAUAAGUAAAGGCAGAAAAGAUUAUAUGUCAUACCUCCAUUGGGGAAUAAGCAUAACCCUGAGAUUCUUACUACUGAUGAGAACAUUAUCUGCAUAUGCCAAAAAAUUUUAAGCAAAUGAAAGCUACCAAUUUAAAGUUACGGAAUCUACCAUUUUAAAGUUAAUUGCUUGUCAAGCUAUAACCACAAAAAUAAUGAAUUGAUGAGAAAUACAAUGAAGAGGCAAUGUCCAUCUCAAAAUACUGCUUUUACAAAAGCAGAAUAAAAGCGAAAA